RNAcentral lists this ribosomal RNA (252 nucleotides) under uncultured bacterium. RNAcentral's name for it is "partial 16S ribosomal RNA". It matches the Rfam family "Bacterial small subunit ribosomal RNA", at positions 524 to 776 of the family's 1533-position model. The record is from RNAcentral.
AACGGGGGGGGCGAGUGUUACUCAACUUUACUGGGCGUAAAGCGCGCGUAGACGGUUUUUUAAGUCUAGAGUUAAAACUUUAUUUAUUUAGAAAGAAGGCUUUAAAUACUAUUAAACUAGAGUUCAAUAGAGGGCAACAGUACUAUUGGAGUAGAGGUAAAAUUCGGUGAUAUCAAUAGGACUAUCAGAGGCGAAGGCGGUUGUCUGGUUUGAAACUGACGUUGAGGAGCAAAAGCGUAGGUAGCAAACAGG